UAAAUCUUAAUCUAACCUAUGGCAUUCAUCAUUUACUGCAAAGACUACUUGGGUACCUAAUCCUGUUUGUGCUCUGUGCCUUCGUCCUUUAACGUCAGUUUUUACAUAGARGGCUGCCUUCGCCUUUACCGAGUCCCUUUGGUAUCAUAGAAUUUCAUCUCUCCUCCUCAAGUACKGCCCUCUUACAUAAAACUCUAGUCAAGUACUAACAUUUUAGAAGCUAUAUUGACCGUCUAGGUACYCUUUAAACCUAAUUAAGAUGAAUAACACUAGUCUCUUACGUAUUACCGCGACUGCUGGCACGCAAUUAGUCAAGACACGAUAUAUAUACUGUCAUUAUCAAUAUAU
RNAcentral lists this ribosomal RNA (348 nucleotides) under Trichoderma aureoviride. RNAcentral describes it as "partial small subunit ribosomal RNA". Lineage: Eukaryota; Fungi; Ascomycota; Sordariomycetes; Hypocreales; Hypocreaceae. The record is from RNAcentral.